GCCUUCGUGGUGUAGUGGUCAGCCCGCUCGACCCGUAAACUAGAGGUCCGUGGUUCGAUUCCCGGCGAAGGCG
Molecule: transfer RNA, 73 nt
Filed under: Stegodyphus mimosarum
Lineage: Eukaryota; Metazoa; Arthropoda; Arachnida; Araneae; Eresidae
Rfam family: tRNA
About the family: Transfer RNA (tRNA) molecules are approximately 80 nucleotides in length.
Source: Rfam by way of RNAcentral